AAAUAGAUACCCCGGUAGUCCACGCCGUAAACGAUGAAUACUAGGUGUAGGAGGGUCCAACCUUCUGUGCCGCCGUUAACACAUUAAGUAUUCCGCCUGGGGAGUACGGUCGCAAGAUUAAAACUCAAAGGAAUUGACGGGGGCCCGCACAAGCAGCGGAGCAUGUGGUUUAAUUCGAAGCAACGCGAAGAACCUUACCUAGACUUGACAUCUCCUGAAUUACCGGUAAUGCGGGAAGCCCUUCGGGGCAGGAAGACAGGUGGUGCAUGGUUGUCGUCAGCUCGUGUCGUGAGAUGUUGGGUUAAGUCCCGCAACGAGCGCAACCCUUAUUGUUAGUUGCUACCAUUAAGUUGAGCACUCUAGCAAGACUGCCGGGGUUAACUCGGAGGAAGGUGGGGAUGACGUCAAAUCAUCAUGCCCCUUAUGUCUAGGGCUACACACGUGCUACAAUGGCGAGUACAACGAGAGGCAAAGCCGCGAGGCGGAGCAAAACUGUAAAACUCGUCCCAAGUUCGGAUUGCAGGCUGAAACUCGCUACAUGAAGCCGG
This 548-nucleotide ribosomal RNA is filed under the name uncultured bacterium. RNAcentral's name for it is "bacterial SSU rRNA". It matches the Rfam family "Bacterial small subunit ribosomal RNA", at positions 776 to 1329 of the family's 1533-position model. The record is from RNAcentral.